Molecule: ribosomal RNA, 440 nt
Filed under: uncultured bacterium
Lineage: Bacteria
Description: partial 16S ribosomal RNA
Rfam family: Bacterial small subunit ribosomal RNA
Source: RNAcentral
CCUACGGGGGGCUGCAGUGGGGAAUAUUGCACAAUGGGGGAACCCCGGAUGAGGCAAGGCGGGGGAGGCGAUGAAGGCCUCCGGGUGGAAAAGCUCUGUCUAAGGGGAGGAAUACGGAGGGUACCUUGGGGGGAAGCCCCGGCAACCAACGUGCCGGCAGCCCGGGUAAUACGUAGGGGGUAAGCGUAAUCCGGAAUUACUGGGGGUAAAGGGUGCGUAGGCGGCCCCCCAAGUCAGAGGUGAAAGGCUACGGCUCAACCGUAGUAAGCCUUUGAAACUGUAGGGCUUGAGUGCAGGAGAGGAGAGUGGAAUUCCCAGUGUAGCGGUGAAAUGCGUAGAUAUUGGGAGGAACACCAGUUGCGAAGGCGGCUCUCUGGACUGUAACUGACGCUGAGGCACGAAAGCGUGGGGAGCGAACAGGAUUAGAUACCCGUGUAGUC